CCCUUAGAUGCUCUGGGCCGCACGCGCGCUACACUGGUCGAUGCAACGAGUUUCUUUCCUUGGCCGACAGGCCUGGGCAAUCUUUGAACAUCGAUCGUGAUCGGGAUAGAUUCUUGUAAUUUUUGAUCUUAAACGAGGAAUUCCUAGUAAACGCAAGUCAUCAGCUUGCAUUGAUUACGUCCCUGCCCUUUGUACACACCGCCCGUCGCACCUACCGAUUGAAUGGUCCGGUGAAAUCUCCGGACCGGCGUGAGUCGGAGCAAUCUGACAAACACCGGAAAGUUGAUUAAACCUUACCAUUUAGAGGAAGGUGAAGUCGUAACA
This 324-nucleotide ribosomal RNA is filed under the name uncultured eukaryote. RNAcentral describes it as "partial 18S ribosomal RNA". It matches the Rfam family "Eukaryotic small subunit ribosomal RNA", at positions 1470 to 1796 of the family's 1831-position model. The record is from RNAcentral.